UUUGGCUCAGGACGAACGCUGGCGGCAGGCCUAACACAUGCAAGUCGAGCGGCAGCGGGAAAGUAGCUUGCUACUUUUGCCGGCGAGCGGCGGACGGGUGAGUAAUGCCUGGGAAAUUGCCCAGUCGAGGGGGAUAACAGUUGGAAACGACUGCUAAUACCGCAUACGCCCUACGGGGGAAAGCAGGGGACCUUCGGGCCUUGCGCGAUUGGAUAUGCCCAGGUGGGAUUAGCUAGUUGGUGAGGUAAUGGCUCACCAAGGCGACGAUCCCUAGCUGGUCUGAGAGGAUGAUCAGCCACACUGGAACUGAGACACGGUCCAGACUCCUACGGGAGCAGCAGUAG
Molecule: ribosomal RNA, 344 nt
Filed under: Aeromonas hydrophila
Lineage: Bacteria; Pseudomonadati; Pseudomonadota; Gammaproteobacteria; Aeromonadales; Aeromonadaceae
Description: bacterial SSU rRNA
Rfam family: Bacterial small subunit ribosomal RNA
Source: RNAcentral